Molecule: ribosomal RNA, 301 nt
Filed under: uncultured bacterium
Lineage: Bacteria
Description: partial 16S ribosomal RNA
Rfam family: Bacterial small subunit ribosomal RNA
Source: RNAcentral
CAGUAGCCGCGGUAAUACGUAGGGUGCAAGCGUUAAUCGGAAUUACUGGGUGUAAAGCGUGCGCAGGCGGUUCGUUAAGACAGAUGUGAAAUCCCCGGGCUUAACCUGGGAACUGCAUUUGUGACUGGCGGGCUAGAGUAUGGCAGAGGGGGGUAGAAUUCCACGUGUAGCAGUGAAGUGCGUAGGGAUGUGGAGGAGUACCGAUGGCGAAGGCAGCCCCCUGGGCCAAUACUGACGCUCAUGCACGAAAGCGUGGGGAGCAAACAGGAUUAGAUACCCCAGUAGUCCCUGUCUCUUAUAC